UACACUUUGUAAAAAUCUUGAAUAGAAUUUGAUAAAACUUCUGACGUUAUUUGGUGUACUUUUGAUGUCUUGGCCAAGGCUUAGGGUCAGACUUCAGGCUCCCUCCUUCCUGCACCGACCCAUUUCUUCUCCUCCAGAGAGGUUCAGAGGCCGAAGCUGAGCCUCCCACAGAA
RNAcentral lists this long non-coding RNA (173 nucleotides) under Ictidomys tridecemlineatus (thirteen-lined ground squirrel). RNAcentral's name for it is "lncRNA (ENSSTOG00000032698.1)". Lineage: Eukaryota; Metazoa; Chordata; Mammalia; Rodentia; Sciuridae. The record is from RNAcentral.